CUAAGCAUAUCAAUAAGCGGAGGAAAAGAAACCAACAGGGAUUGCCCUAGUAACGGCGAGUGAAGCGGCAACAGCUCAAAUUUGAAAUCUGGCUCUCGGGCCCGAGUUGUAAUUUGUAGAGGAUACUUUUGAUGCGGUGCCUUCCGAGUUCCCUGGAACGGGACGCCAUAGAGGGUGAGAGCCCCGUCUGGUUGGAUGCCAAAUCUCUGUAAAGUUCCUUCGACGAGUCGAGUAGUUUGGGAAUGCUGCUCUAAAUGGGAGGUAUAUGUCUUCUAAAGCUAAAUACCGGCCAGAGACCGAUAGCGCACAAGUAGAGUGAUCGAAAGAUGAAAAGCACUUUGAAAAGAGAGUUAAAAAGUACGUGAAAUUGUUGAAAGGGAAGCGUUUAUGACCAGACUUGGGCUUGGUUAAUCAUCUGGGGUUCUCCCCAGUGCACUUUUCCAGUCCAGGCCAGCAUCAGUUUUCGCCGGGGGAUAAAGACUUCGGGAAUGUGGCUCUCUUCGGGGAGUGUUAUAGCCCGUUGUGUAAUACCCUGGCGGGGACUGAGGUUCGCGCAUCUGCAAGGAUGCUGGCGUAAUGGUCAUCAACGACCCGUCUUGAAACACGGACCAAGGAGUCGUCUUCGUAUGCGAGUGUUCGGGUGUCAAACCCCUACGCGUAAUGAAAGUGAACGCAGGUGAGAGCUUCGGCGCAUCAUCGACCGAUCCUGAUGUUCUCGGAUGGAUUUGAGUAAGAGCAUACGGGGCCGGACCCGAAAGAAGGUGAACUAUGCCUGUAUAGGGUGAAGCCAGAGGAAACUCUGGUGGAGGCUCGCAGCGGUUCUGACGUGCAAAUCGAUCGUCAAAUAUGGGCAUGGGGGCGAAAGACUAAUCGAACCUUCUAGUAGCUGGUUUCCGCCGAAGUU
RNAcentral lists this ribosomal RNA (904 nucleotides) under Fusarium proliferatum. RNAcentral describes it as "LSU rRNA". It matches the Rfam family "Eukaryotic large subunit ribosomal RNA", at positions 34 to 968 of the family's 3401-position model. The record is from RNAcentral. Lineage: Eukaryota; Fungi; Ascomycota; Sordariomycetes; Hypocreales; Nectriaceae.